This 88-nucleotide transfer RNA is filed under the name Parcubacteria group bacterium ADurb.Bin192. RNAcentral describes it as "tRNA-Ser". It matches the Rfam family "tRNA". Rfam says of the family: Transfer RNA (tRNA) molecules are approximately 80 nucleotides in length. Their secondary structure includes four short double-helical elements and three loops (D, anti-codon, and T loops). Further hydrogen bonds mediate the characteristic L-shaped molecular structure. tRNAs have two regions of fundamental functional importance: the anti-codon, which is responsible for specific mRNA codon recognition, and the 3' end, to which the tRNAs corresponding amino acid is attached (by aminoacyl-tRNA synthetases). tRNAs cope with the degeneracy of the genetic code in two manners: having more than one tRNA (with a specific anti-codon) for a particular amino acid; and 'wobble' base-pairing, i.e. permitting non-standard base-pairing at the 3rd anti-codon position. RNAcentral also lists the same sequence under 1 other name. The record is from RNAcentral.
GGAGAGGUCGCAUAGAGGCCUAGUGCACACGCUUGGAAAGCGUGCAUACCGCAAGGUAUCGAGGGUUCGAAUCCCUCCCUCUCCGCCA